RNAcentral lists this transfer RNA (73 nucleotides) under Thermoplasmata archaeon. RNAcentral describes it as "tRNA-Val". It matches the Rfam family "tRNA". From Rfam's summary of the family: Transfer RNA (tRNA) molecules are approximately 80 nucleotides in length. Their secondary structure includes four short double-helical elements and three loops (D, anti-codon, and T loops). Further hydrogen bonds mediate the characteristic L-shaped molecular structure. tRNAs have two regions of fundamental functional importance: the anti-codon, which is responsible for specific mRNA codon recognition, and the 3' end, to which the tRNAs corresponding amino acid is attached (by aminoacyl-tRNA synthetases). tRNAs cope with the degeneracy of the genetic code in two manners: having more than one tRNA (with a specific anti-codon) for a particular amino acid; and 'wobble' base-pairing, i.e. permitting non-standard base-pairing at the 3rd anti-codon position. Lineage: Archaea; Methanobacteriati; Thermoplasmatota; Thermoplasmata. The record is from RNAcentral.
GGGCUGGUGGUCUAGGGGUUAGGACGUCACCCUUACAAGGUGAAGAUCAGCGGUUCAAUUCCGCUCCAGCCCA